Molecule: ribosomal RNA, 113 nt
Filed under: Lepisosteus oculatus (spotted gar)
Lineage: Eukaryota; Metazoa; Chordata; Actinopteri; Semionotiformes; Lepisosteidae
Source: RNAcentral
GACAGCAGCAUGGCCACCUGUAGCCUGAUCUCAUCAGAUCUCAGAAGCUAAACAAGGAUGGGCAUAGUCAGUCCUGGGAUGUGAUCUCUAAGGAAAACCUGGAGCUGCUGUCC